Long non-coding RNA from Scylla paramamosain (green mud crab), 1807 nucleotides. RefSeq lists it as uncharacterized. The record is from RefSeq and is a predicted model, not a curated record. Lineage: Eukaryota; Metazoa; Arthropoda; Malacostraca; Decapoda; Portunidae. The transcript has 2 exons.
CCGCCUCACGCCUCACCUGGACACAACACCUGCCUGCUACUGGAGACUCAUUAACCUGUUACCUGCUGCAAUCGAUAACUGCUCAUCUCUUAACGCUGCUUUUGUCUUCGUGUUGGAGUUAUUUACAAAGACACAGUGCUUUCAUCAACCCUGAAUGUAUCCCCUGCAUAAACUUAUAAAAGAAAAAUGCACGUGUUAUUUAUCUUUUCGUGUCUUGAGCCUCGACUUACGUGUGUGUGUGUGUGUGUGUGUGUGGGAGAGAGAGAGAGAGAGAGAGAGAGAGAGAGAGAGAGAGAGAGAGAGAGAGAGAGAGAGAGAGAGAGAGAGAGAGAGAGAGAGAGAGAGAGAGAGAGAAAUCAUCAUCAGUAUCACCACCACCUUUGCAUAACUGAUGAACAAAUCCUGGCUUUUUUUCUUCUUAUUUUACGGCUUCAGAUUUACUCGCAAUUUAAAUCUACGGGGAUUGAGUGUCACAUUACAAUAAGUCUACGGAGAAUAUUUGCCGCAUUUCAUAGUGUACGGAGUAAUACUGUAGGGGUUAGAGGUAGUAGUAGUAGUAGUAGUAGUAGUAGUAGUAGUAGUAGUAGUAGUAGUAGUAGUAGUAGUAGUAGUAGUAGUAGUAGUAGUAGAAAUAGUAGUUGUGUCACAAGUUAAACAAAUCUCACUCACAGCUAAAGUUAAGUUCACGUAAAAAUAAAUGAAACGUGAAGCUAAAUUAAGUUCAUGAAAACCUGUCAGUUCAUAAGAAAUCUUCUAUCAACAUGUGACGAAGUGCAGGGAGGAGGUGUGUGGAUGACAGCUCAUGGAAAGCUCACGCCUCCUUCGUUUCCUCUUCCUCCUCCUCCUCCUCCUUCUCCUUCUUCUCCUCUUUCUUCUCCUCCUCCUUCUCCUCCUCUACUAUCACGUUCUUUUCUUUCAUCAUUUCUUCUCUUUCUCCCCAUUUCCUUUUCACUUUUGUCUCCCUCCUCUUCCGCUUUAUCGUUUUCUCUCAUUCACUUAUUCUACUUCCAACUUCCUUUUAAUUCUUCUCCUCGUCCUCGUCCUUGUCCUCCUGCUCCUCCUUCUCGUUUCUCAUAUCCUUUCUUCUCCUUGGGUGUGAAAUCGUACGAGUAACAUAACACAACAUAACAUAUCAUGGCAUAACCUAAGACCACAGUUCAUUAAUAAAGCUACUUGAGAUAUAAAUAAGAUGAAUUAUGACAGAAGGGAGUCCCACACGUAACGCUGGCGGGAAUACCACUGGAGUAAACAGGCAGGUCCCGGCAGGCAGCGCUUUAUCAGGGAAAGGCACUGAGAGGUCAUAAAGCUGGUAAGAAUCCCUCUAGGCUCAGUGUGGAUUGAUUUCUUCCUUCGUCAACACAGCCUCGUAAUGCGUCUGCUGUGGUUCCUGGUGGUGCUGUCGGUGGCUGUCCUGGCUGCCUCGCCCGCCGCUGCGAAGCCUUUAUCUCCCCCCUACCCCGGUCCAGGGCCAUUCCCGCCGCCAGGACCAUAUCCGAUACCCUUGCCAUACCCACCGCCAGGACCGCCACUCCCAUGGCCACAGCCAUAUCCACCUCCACCCCCUCCCCCACGAGGACCUGAGCCUUGGUGGUGAAUCAGAGCCGCCUCACGCAUCACCUGGACACAACACCUGCCUGCUGCCGGAAGCUCAUUAACCUGGACACUCCUAUUACCUUCUCCUCCCUGCGACACCUUGAUCUCCUGACGCUGCUGAAUGUUCGUGUUCCUUAAGUGAACGAAGCCAUUAUUUUCUUAACCUUAAAAUGUAUCCCUGCUUAAAGUUAUAGAAAUAAAUGUAUGCAUAAUU